CAGUCGCCGCGGGAAUACGUAGGGUGCAAGCGUUGUCCGGAAUUAUUGGGCGUAAAGAGCUCGUAGGCGGUUUGUCGCGUCUGCUGUGAAAUCCCGAGGCUCAACCUCGGGCUUGCAGUGGGUACGGGCAGACUAGAGUGCGGUAGGGGAGAUUGGAAUUCCUGGUGUAGCGGUGGAAUGCGCAGAUAUCAAGAGGAACACCGAUGGCGAAGGCAGAUCUCUGGGCCGUAACUGACGCUGAGGAGCGAAAGCGUGGGGAGCGAACAGGAUUAGAUACCCCCGUAGUCCCUGUCUCUUAUAA
RNAcentral lists this ribosomal RNA (301 nucleotides) under uncultured bacterium. Its description in RNAcentral is "partial 16S ribosomal RNA". It matches the Rfam family "Bacterial small subunit ribosomal RNA", at positions 509 to 809 of the family's 1533-position model. The record is from RNAcentral.